This 471-nucleotide ribosomal RNA is filed under the name Salmonella enterica. RNAcentral's name for it is "bacterial SSU rRNA". It matches the Rfam family "Bacterial small subunit ribosomal RNA", at positions 1 to 468 of the family's 1533-position model. RNAcentral also lists the same sequence under 1 other name. The record is from RNAcentral. Lineage: Bacteria; Pseudomonadati; Pseudomonadota; Gammaproteobacteria; Enterobacterales; Enterobacteriaceae.
AAAUUGAAGAGUUUGAUCAUGGCUCAGAUUGAACGCUGGCGGCAGGCCUAACACAUGCAAGUCGAACGGUAACAGGAAGCAGCUUGCUGCUUCGCUGACGAGUGGCGGACGGGUGAGUAAUGUCUGGGAAACUGCCUGAUGGAGGGGGAUAACUACUGGAAACGGUGGCUAAUACCGCAUAACGUCGCAAGACCAAAGAGGGGGACCUUCGGGCCUCUUGCCAUCAGAUGUGCCCAGAUGGGAUUAGCUUGUUGGUGAGGUAACGGCUCACCAAGGCGACGAUCCCUAGCUGGUCUGAGAGGAUGACCAGCCACACUGGAACUGAGACACGGUCCAGACUCCUACGGGAGGCAGCAGUGGGGAAUAUUGCACAAUGGGCGCAAGCCUGAUGCAGCCAUGCCGCGUGUAUGAAGAAGGCCUUAGGGUUGUAAAGUACUUUCAGCGGGGAGGAAGGUGUUGUGGUUAAUAACC